UCUAGAAUGGAUUGUCGUUUUAAAGUGCAUCCAUCUCAAAAGUUAAGAUACACACAACGGUUCUUAGGUGCAGGAAAGCAUUAUUGAAUUAAGACACUGGUAUUCUACAUUGAAUUUUUAGCUCAUACUUUUAAUGUGCCUAUCUAAAUUUACUGUCCUUUUCCCUCUUAAUCAUGCUAUUCUUGAGAAUAUAAAUUAUUGUGCACUAGGAGUUUCCUCCCAGCCUGAUUGAGAUGCAAGAAAUUCAUUGGUUUUCUGUUUCAUUUGCACAAGACGAUCUGACCACAUCAAUAUUAUGUGAUUCCAGAUUAGAGGAAGGGCUGCAGAAGCAGGAGUCAAUUCUAAGGAAACCCGGACAGUAAUUUGCCUAUAUCUUUUUCAUGGAUAGAAUGCGAAAAAUUGACUGUUUGAUCACCAUAUAGUUUCAGUAUACAGUUUUGCUGAAAGGCAAGCGACCAAGUACCUGACUGUUGCUCGGAUGGCUCCACUCAAUUGGUUCAUCUUCAUCAGCGCAGCCCCUUUUAGAGCUUAGUUGGCAAUUCAUAACUAUGAAGCUUCAGCAAUGUUUGGCGAACAAAGUUAUAUUGAAGCUUGGACAUACCACAGAGUCAGAGAACCAAGCCGACGGGAUGUAUAUACCAGGAAAUCAAAGAAUCAGCCUACAAGCAUCUAUUUUGUCCACGAUGAAAGCUUGCAUGCUGAUGCACCAGAAGAGAAUAUUAAUGGGAAGCAUGAACCUGUGGUUGCUAACCCGUCAAAAGAGCUGACCCAUUCACCAAAGCCCCUGCUCAUCCCACUUAUGUCAGUUCUAUGAAGAAGCCCCUUGGUGCAAAGAAGAUUGGUGGCAAGGCUGGAGGGCUUGGCGUAAAAAAGCUAACUACAAAGACAAAUGAAAGCUUCUAUGACCAAAAACCUCAAGAGCCGAAAUUAGUUUUGCCAGCAUUGACUACUACUUCUACAGCUCCUAAAAAAGUGGCCCAUCCCAUUCUUGUUUUGAAUAUGUGGAGAAUGAGGAAUCAACUGAUUCAAAAACUGGUGGAGCUCACAUGAGUACAUGACUUGUCAUGUAG
Molecule: non-coding RNA, 1070 nt
Organism: Lolium perenne
Lineage: Eukaryota; Viridiplantae; Streptophyta; Magnoliopsida; Poales; Poaceae
Source: RefSeq, a predicted model, not a curated record